AACAUCCAGACCCGUUCUCUCACCUAGUUUCUUUCCAUUCUUGUACCUACUGGUUGGCAAUACCAGAGUUUAAUCAAGCCAAGAAUGCACUCGAACUCAAGUCUACAAUAGUAGCAGGUAUUCAUAGAACUACAACCAGAAAUGAGGAGUAUGAAUCUCGGGCGGAGUAUUUAGUCUGAGUGCAGUUUGAAGUCGGAGCAACUAUUACCAUGCGGCUUUUCCAGUCUCUCAGAGCCUGGUCCCCACCUGACAUUAGUCUAAGGUUUGGACCCUCUGACCAGGAUAGCCUAUCCGUUACGUCGUGGCUUGCGGAAAAUAGAUGUUCAUGGAUGGCUCUUAGAAGUCGUAUCACGCCUUGGCGCUAAUCCCGAGAAAGCUGGGCUGGCUUUGCUAAUAGCCUACCAAUGUCGCGGUUUGCAUUAACCGUUAUACCAUUUAUUUUUAUUUAUUUCUUAUUCAUUAUUGUGAUGGUCGAAAAUAUGUUCGCGUAUAACAGUUUGAAGAUAAUUGUGGUAACUGUUAUACAAUGAGAGAAUACACAAUUUUUAAAAAUAUAUUUGUGUAUAAUAGUUGUUUUAUAAUUGCGUUAAUUGUUAUAAUAUGUUUCAUGACUAUCUGCACAUUCUAAAAUGACAUAUAGAAAUAUCGGGUGUAAAAUUUUUAUUCCGCCCCAAACAUUUUUUUGUAGAACACUUCCUAACAAAAUGGCAGACUUAUUACUAUUUGUUUUUACAUCCUAUGAAGAAAAUAUAAAUUGUAAUAUAAAUAAAAAAUAUAUUUCUGUAUAACA
This is a long non-coding RNA of Stomoxys calcitrans (stable fly), 790 nucleotides long. RefSeq lists it as uncharacterized. Lineage: Eukaryota; Metazoa; Arthropoda; Insecta; Diptera; Muscidae. The record is from RefSeq and is a predicted model, not a curated record. The transcript has 2 exons.